AAACUUAAUCACCUAAAACAAAAAAGUUAUUAUUUAUCAGUUGCUUACUGUUUAAGUGAAAGCUUCUAUUUAUUUAUGGGUAGUUUGAUGGGCGUUUGCACUAAUACUUUUGUGUUAAAUUUUAUAAAAUCUCACCGCUUUCAACCUACAUUAUCGAUGAUUUUCGUAUGAUUAAAGUCAAAAAAAUUAAUUUUAGAUAACUUAUUUUGGUAAG
This 214-nucleotide unclassified non-coding RNA is filed under the name Moritella viscosa. RNAcentral's name for it is "putative sRNA". The record is from RNAcentral. Lineage: Bacteria; Pseudomonadati; Pseudomonadota; Gammaproteobacteria; Alteromonadales; Moritellaceae.